GACGAACGCUGGCGGCGUGCCUAAUACAUGCAAGUCGAACGCACUCUCGUUUAGAUUGAAGGAGUUUGUUCCUGAUUGAUAAACAUUUGAGUGAGUGGCGGACGGGUGAGUAACACGUGGGUAACCUGCCCUAAAGUGGGGAUAACAUUUGGAAACAGAUGCUAAUACCGCAUAAAACCUAACACCGCAUGGUGUAGGGUUGAAAGAUGGUUUCGGCUAUCACUUUAGGAUGGACCCGCGGUGCAUUAGUUAGUUGGUGAGGUAAAGGCUCACCAAGACCGUGAUGCAUAGCCGACCUGAGAGGGUAAUCGGCCACACUGGGACUGAGACACGGCCCAGACUCCUACGGGAGGCAGCAGUAGGGAAUCUUCCACAAUGGACGAAAGUCUGAUGGAGCAACGCCGCGUGAGUGAAGAAGGUUUUCGGAUCGUAAAACUCUGUUGUUGGGGAAGAAUGUAUCUGAUAGUAACUGAUCAGGUAGU
This 482-nucleotide ribosomal RNA is filed under the name uncultured bacterium. RNAcentral describes it as "bacterial SSU rRNA". It matches the Rfam family "Bacterial small subunit ribosomal RNA", at positions 28 to 491 of the family's 1533-position model. The record is from RNAcentral.